AUAAAUACUAAUCGCUUUUUGGCUAAGAUCAAGUGUAGUAUUUGUUCUUAUCAGUUUAAUAUCUGAUACAUCCUCUAUCCGAGGACAAUAUAUUAAAUGGAUUUUUAGAGCAGGGAGAUGGAAUAAGAGAUUGCUCUGUCCACUCCACGCAUCGACCUGGUGGUAUUGCAGUACUUCCGGAAACAGUGCACCUUCU
Small nuclear RNA from Manis pentadactyla (Chinese pangolin), 196 nucleotides. RefSeq annotates it as U2 spliceosomal RNA. The transcript has a single exon. NCBI's taxonomy places the organism in Eukaryota, Metazoa, Chordata, Mammalia, Pholidota, Manidae. The record is from RefSeq and is a predicted model, not a curated record.